Molecule: ribosomal RNA, 477 nt
Filed under: uncultured bacterium
Lineage: Bacteria
Description: bacterial SSU rRNA
Rfam family: Bacterial small subunit ribosomal RNA
Source: RNAcentral
GACGAACGCUGGCGGCGUGCUUAACACAUGCAAGUCGAACGGAAAGGCCCUGCUUUUGUGGGGUGCUCGAGUGGCGAACGGGUGAGUAACACGUGAGUAACCUGCCCUUGACUUUGGGAUAACUUCAGGAAACUGGGGCUAAUACCGGAUAGGAGCUCCUGCUGCAUGGUGGGGUUGGAAAGUUUCGGCGGUUGGGGAUGGACUCGCGGCUUAUCAGCUUGUUGGUGGGGUAGUGGCUUAUCAAGGCUUUGACGGGUAGCCGGCCUGAGAGGGUGACCGGCCACAUUGGGACUGAGAUACGGCCCAGACUCCUACGGGAGGCAGCAGUGGGGAAUAUUGCACAAUGGGCGGAAGCCUGAUGCAGCAACGCCGCGUGCGGGAUGACGGCCUCGGUGUAACGCUUCGCCUGUGACGAAGCGUGAGUGACGGUAAUGGGUAAGAAGACACCGGCUAACUACGUAGCCAGCAGCCGCGUAA